AUGCAGGCUCAGUUCAUGAAAUCAGUUACAAAAGGACCUAGGUUGGAUUUUCCUAGAUUUUCUGGAACAGACCCAGUGGGGUGGAUAAGACAAUGUAACAAGUACUUCCAAAUGUCUAGACCUCCAGAGGAGUACAAAGUCUCAUUAGCUCAGAUGUACAUUGUUGAUGAUGCUGAUGUAUGGCUAAGGAGAUCUGGUCUGUUGAAGAAGCAGCUCAAUUGGAAAGAAUUUGGUGCAGAAGUAGUUAAAAGAUUUUCUGACAAGGGUUCAUAUGAUCUGACAGAAAAGUUUAACUCAAUCAAACAGAUGCAUUAUUCUGUAUCUGAAUAA
This 330-nucleotide ribosomal RNA is filed under the name Triticum aestivum (bread wheat). Its description in RNAcentral is "partial small subunit ribosomal RNA". Lineage: Eukaryota; Viridiplantae; Streptophyta; Magnoliopsida; Poales; Poaceae. The record is from RNAcentral.